CCAAUUCUGAUUUGUUGCCUAUAUCUGAUUUUUUUUACCGUCUGUUUACUUGUUCUUUCAACUAUGACUCAUUUCCUUUUUCAUGUCACCUGCGAUGUUAUAAUUCCACACGCGCUUCCACCGGAGAAUAACAUUACGUCAUUAAACCACGAAGAAGUCGCAGUUUUUAUGAUGUACAGAACACAAUGCCUCAGGAAAUCCGAUCUGUCUGUUUACACGACAAUCACAUUAUCACAUAUCUGACUUUUAUCUGAUUUAUUUCCACAUAUAAAGGAGGCCUGAAACCGAUCUCAAAAUAUCGGAUAAUGCAUGCGUUUUUUCCCUGUUUACACGGACAUAGAACAUAUCCAAUAUGCGUCACAUAUGAGCAAAAAAUCUGAAUUGGGUCACAUUUACCUGACAGUGUAAACGUAGCCAAAGAGAGGUUGAAUAUCUCUGUGAACACAAGUGCUAGCUGGUCUGCGCAGGCUCUGAGGAUUUGACCUGAGAUGCCGUCUGGUCCUGUUUACUCGCCUAAAGGCUCUCCUCACAUCAUGCUCGGAGAUGAUGAACGUGUUUCCGGUGCUGGCAGUGUCUUCCUGUCUGCAGCCGUUACCGCCGCUAGCAUUAGCACCGCUAGCGUCUUUAGCUGCAGCCUCAAAUCGAGCAUAGAAGGUGUUCAGCUCGUCUGCCAGAGUCACGUCCGCGUUUGUCAUAUCCUGGAUGUUGAUGCUUUAUAGUUCGUUAUUGUUUUCAUUCCUUGCUACAGACUCCUAGUCUCACUCUGUUGAAGCUGUGACUCUAGUUUCCGUCCGUAGUGCUGCUUUGCCUCUUUCACCGCCUUCCGGAUUUUGUACGAUGCAGCCUUGUACGGGUCCAUGUCCCCCGACGCAGCGGUACAAGAACUCAGAGCGUUGGGGAUGGUUUUUAUCCACCCACGGCUUCUGGUUGGGAAACAUUCUAAUAGUCAUUUUUUUGUAUGGUAUCAUCUGCUAGUUUCCCGAUGAAUGCCACAACUGCUUCUGUAAACAUGCGGAUGUCAUCGGAGCUAUUUCAGAACAUGUCCCAGUCUGUGCCAUCGAGUGCGUCCUGUAACGCGGCCACCGAUUGACUCAUGGACAUAGAGUAUUAGGUGGUAUUAACUGGUGUGUUUAGAUGCUGUCUUCCCCAAUCUCAUUGAUCACUUAAACGGUGAGGUGAUUGUUUGCUUUUUAUCUUAGGGAGAGCUCAUGUCUGUGUUUCCUUCUGGCUCUCCCUUUUAGUUAUGCUGUUAUAGUUAGUCCUUGCCCUCUACACUAAAUAUACAUUCACAUUAUUCAUUAUGUGACUGUGAAUAUACCUAACUGUUAUCUCUCCUCUUCUGCUCUCAUCUCUUCUUUUCUCUCUCAUCCUCUCUCUCUUUCCCUUUCACUGUCGAGCUACACAUGUUGUUCCUGAGUGGCCAUUGAUCCAGACUCCACCUGCCCUCUGGACCUGUCUGACCCAUCCUGAUGCCCAGCUUCUGGUUGGAGAUCUCAUCACAUGGAUGCCCUGUGUGUCUCUUUGGGAUGCGUCCAGUGUCUGGGGAUGGUUUCACUCUACCAUGAAGACGGUUCUGGCCUUGACUGUUGACAGCUCUUUUUCUGAGGACUUGACGUGGCUGCAGUUGCAGUCACAGUUGGAAGUCUACCUGAGCCUCAAUAACUACCUUGACUCUAUCUUAACAUCAAUUAAAAUCAACUGUUAUAGCUGAAAUGGCUGCCACCUAACACAAAGUAUGAAUGCAGGACAAUUUCUGCUCUCUGUUUCACCCAAAUGAGAAUGGGUUCCCUGUUGAGUCCGGUUCCUCUCAAGGUUUCUUUCUAUUGCCAUCUAAGGUAGUUUUCCCUUGCCACUGUCGCCCUCGGCUUGCUCACCAGGGACUAUCUGACCAUUUUGAUUUAAACACAUUCACAUUCCAUACAAACAAUAAUUCUUUUGAUUGUGUAAAGCUGAUUUGCGACAAUGACAAAUGUUAAAAGCGCUAUACACAUAAAAUUGAAUUGAAUUGAAUUGAAUAUGUCCUGCACACAUUGCUCAACUUUAGUAAGCAGUUUUUUUCUCGUCUGGUUUUGCUGAGACGUAUAACUAUGUGUCAUCAACAUAACAAUAAAAACUAAUACCAUGCUUACGAAUUAUGUUGCCCAGAGUAUAUAAAGAGAAAAAAGCAGUGGGCCUAAAACUGAAUUCUGUGAAACACUGAACUCCACUUGAGAACAUGCAGAAUGGUCACCAUUUAAAUCAAACUGAUAACGAUCGGUCAAAUAGGAUCUGAGCCAGGAGAGGGCCGUUCCCUUAAUUCCUUCUACAUUUUCUCAUCUGUGAAGGAGAAUACUAUGAUCAAUGGAGUCAAAAGCUGCACUGAGGUUGAGUAACACAAGUCUAGUGACGCAACCCUGAUCAGAGGCCAAUAAAAGGUCAUUUACUACUUUAACGAGUGCUGUCUCUGUGCUGUGAUGAGGCCUAAAUCCUGACUGAUAUAGUUUGCUUAUGUAGAUAAGAACAUAGCUGCGCUACUAUCUUUUCCAUCUUAGAGAUGAAGGGGAGGUUUGAUAUCGGCCUGUAAUUGGACAGCUGACAAGAGUCAAGGUCAGGUUUCUUAAAUAGUGGUUAAAUAACUGCUAAUUUAAGGGACUUGGGAACAUACCCACUGCUGAGUGAAAAGUUAAUUAUUUUUAACAAGGGUUCUGUUAUUGCUGGUACUAUCUACUUAAAAAAAUGUGUCGGUAUAGGAUCUAAGUAUCUAGGAUCUAUAUUUUAGACACAUUAUAUUUGUCAAUACUCUUGACAUAGAUCAGAUCACAUUUUAUGAAUAAUUAAUGCAGAAAACCAUGAAAUUCGACUUGGUUCACAUGACUUUUCUUGCAACUGUAUAUUUUAAAUUUGCAUAUAUCCUCAUAUAUCCUUUACAGUACAAAGAAAUUCUUUUCUUUGCAUAUUUUGGCCAUGAUUAAGCAUUCCUAUGUUAGGGAAAUAGGGUAAAGGGACUGUCUCAAGGUUCCAACAGCAGCAGCGUGGCAGUGCAGGGGCUUGAACGGCCUGAACCCUGCAAUUAUUAACCCAGAGGCUUACUGUUUGAGCCGCCACUGUCCUAGAUCAAUAUGCAGGAGACUUUGCUUUAAAACUAUUGUAAUUUAUGAUUAAUUUCCUGUAUAUUUAUACUUCUUUCGAGAGGACAGAAUAAGGACCCAUUCAGCAAAAUGGUCCAUGAAUGCAUUAAGUUUUUUUUCAGGUGAUCUUUCAUGAACAGAAAAAUGAAACCAGCAGAGCAACUCAUCCUUGUUUAUUCUCUAUUUAAAGCUGUUUUGUGUAGAGAAUUCUCCAUCAGUCUACCAGAGAGUGUAGAAGCUCUGAGAGGACUCUGUGUUCUUAUACCCUGCAGUUUUGAGAUUCAUGAACAAUUUGAUGCAGACCUCCAGAGAGAUCCUACAGUGAUCUGGUUAAAAGACGGCACUAACAUUAACAAUAACAGAGUCUUUACCUCUAAAGAAAUUAAAGAAAGCAAGAUCGAAGGGGACAUUAUUGGAGAUAUCCGUAUGAAGAACUGCACCACCAUCUUUUACGACAUCAGAUACAGUGACAGUGGAGUUUAUUACUUUAGAAUAGAAACUUCAGGAAGCCUGAAACACAGUUAUCCUUCUGCAUCAGUAUUUGUUAAUGUGCGAGAUUCUCCAAUCAGCCCCUCAAUAAGACUGUAUAAGGAGGAUCAGGGGGAGGUGGAGGACCAAAAUGAGGUGGUGGAAGGAACUUUAGUGAGAAUCAUCUGUUCUGCUCCAUCUCCUUCAUGUCUCUUAAAGCCUCCCACUUUUACAUGGAACCUCCUGCCUGAGGAGAGAAGACAGAAGCAGAACCAUAACACCAGCUUCAGCUCCUCUCAGCUGAACUUCAAUACGACUCACCUGCAUCAUGGACUGGAUUUCACCUGCACUGCCACUUAUUGGCUCCAAAACAAGAACGUAUCAGUACAGAGCACUCUUACACUCCAUGUUCUGUAUGGUCCUAAAAGCACAUCAGUUUCAGCAUCUCCAUCUGCUUCAGUGGUUUUGGGCAGUUCAGUGUCUCUAAGUUGCAGCAGUGAUGCAAACCCAGCAGUGCUGAACUACACCUGGUACAGAGAGAACGGAGAGCAGAUAGGAACCGGAGACCAUCUCACCAUCAACACCACUGAUUCACACAGUGGUUUAUACUACUGUAGAGCUCAAAACCAGCAUGGAAAUCAGAACUCAUCUGUCUACCUGGAUGUGCAGUAUGGUCCUAGAAACACAUCAGUAUCAGCAUCUCCAUCUGCUUCAGUGGUUUUGGGCAGUUCAGUGUCUCUGAGUUGCAGCAGUGAUGCAAACCCAGCAGUGCUGAACUACACCUGGUACAGAGAGAACGGAGAGCAGAUAGGAACUGGAGACCAUCUCACCAUCAACACCACUGAUUCUACACAAAGUGGUUUAUACUACUGUAGAGCUCAAAACCAGCAUGGAGAUCACAACUCAUCUGUCUACCUGGAUGUUCAAUAUGGUCCUACAGGAAUGUCAGUGUCAGCAUCUCCAUGUUCUUCAGUGGUUACGGGCAGUUCAGUGUCUCUGAGUUGCAGCAGUGAUGCAAACCCAGAGGUUCUGAGCUACACCUGGUACAGAGAGAACGGAGAGCAGAUAGGAACCGGAGACCAUCUUACCAUCAACAUCACUGAUUUUACACACAGUGGUUUAUACUACUGUAGAGCUCAAAACCAGCAUGGAGAUCACAACUCAUCUGUCUACCUGGAUGUGCAGUAUGGGCCUGGAGACAUGUUGUUAUCAGCAUCUCCAUCUACUUCAGUGGUUUUGGGCAGGUCAGUGUCUCUGAGUUGCAGCAGUGAUGCAAACCCAGCAGUGCUGAACUACACCUGGUACAGAGAGAACGGAGAGCAGAUAGGAACCGGAAACCAUCUCACCAUCAACACCACUGAUUCUACACACAGUGGUUUAUACUACUGUAGAGCUCAAAACCAGCACGGAGAUUACAACUCUUCUGUCUCCCUGGAUGUUCAGUAUGCUCCAAGAAAGAUGUCAGUAUCAGUGUCUCCAUCAGCUUUAGUGGUUUUGGGCAGUUCAGUGUCUCUGAGUUGCAGCAGUGAUGCUAACCCAGCAGUGCUGAACUACACCUGGUACAGAGAGAACGGAGAGCAGAUAGGAACCGGAGACCAUCUCACCAUCAACAUCAUUGAUUCUACACAAAGUGGUUUAUACUACUGUAGAGCUCAAAACCAGCACGGAGAUCACAACUCAUCUGUUUACCUGGAUGUUCAAUAUGCUCCAAGAAAGAUGUCACUAUCAGUGUCUCCAUCUGCUUCAGUGGUUUUGGGCAGUUCAGUGUCUCUGCGUUGCAGCAGUGAUGCAAACCCAGCAGUGCUGAACUACACCUGGUACAGAGAGAAGGGAGAGCAGAUAGGAACUGAAAACCAUCUUACCAUUAACACCACUGAUUCUACACACAGUGGUUUAUACUACUGUAGAGCUCAAAACCAGCAUGGAGAUCACAACUCAUCUGUCUACCUGGAUGUGCAGUAUGGUCCUAGAAACACAUCAGUAUCAGCCUCUCCAUCUGCUACAAUGGUUUUGGGCAGUUCAGUGUCUCUGAGUUGCAGCAGUGAUGCAAACCCAGCAGUGCUGAACUACACCUGGUACAGAGAGAACGGAGAGCAGAUAGGAACCGGAGACCAUCUCACCAUCAACACCACUGAUUCUACACACAGUGGUUUAUACUACUGUAGAGCUCAAAACCAGCAUGGAGAUCACAACUCAUCUAGAUACCUGGAUGUACAGUAUGGUCCUAGAAACACAUCAGUAUCAGCAUCUCCAUCUGCUUCAGUGGUUUUGGGCAGUUCAGUGUCUCUAAAUUGCAGCAGUGAUGCAAACCCAGCAGUGCUGAACUACACCUGGUACAGAGAGAACGCAGAGCAGAUAGGAACCGGAAACCAUCUCACCAUCAACACCACUGAUUCUACACACAGUGGUUUAUACUACUGUAGAGCUCAAAACCAGCACGGAGAUCACAACUCAUCUGUCUACCUGGAUGUGCAGUAUGCUCCUCAGGUCUCUCCCUCCUCCAGCUGUAACAGCUCUAUGGAUUUCUUCAACUGCUCCUGUGAGGUUCAUGGAAAUCCGUCUCCUAAACUGGUGUGGCUUCUCUCGGGUCAAAUUGUCUCUAAAUCGGAUGUUAUAUCCACCAGUGAGAUGUUGACGAGCAACACAACUUUAAGAAGCUUCAUGUCCAUCCGUCCAUCAGCUAACGACACACCCACUCUGCAGUGUGUUAGCACCAACAAUCUGGGUGUCACCUCACAAGUCUUCUCCUUUAUCACCACAGUGCCCUGCUCUGCUGGAGACAGACACACUGCAGUACUUUACCUGGUUCUCUCUGUGGUUCUCCUUCUGUCUCUUGGUGUUAUUGGAUUUCUCAUCUACAAAUUAAAGCAAUUGUCCAGGAGAAUAAAAGUUCUAGAGGGAGGAGACACGUACGCUUCUCUCCAGCUCUCUGCUGUACAGAACUCUGAAUAUGAAACUCUGCAGACUAACAGAGAGGGAAGAGAAACAAAGAACAAAGACUGAAAAGUUUGACUUUUUUGUCAUGGAGAAAUCUGUUGCGGGAGUGAGUUGUGAUCUCUCUAUUCUCCUCACUCACCCUCCGUCCUUCAAAUCCUAAACAGACACACAACAAUCUGGAAACUAAUUUGAGACGAGAAGUCGAGACGUCAUAAUUUAACACAUUACCUUUGAAGUGAACUGUAUGUAAAUCAUCAACUGCCUGUGUAUCAGCUGAUUUCUACACCAGCUUUACAUCCUGAGCAGAAGAUUAAGAGGACGGACCCUUGAUCUUCUGCCUUCUUGCACAACCUACAAACUUAUACAUAUUUAUACUUUACCACAUUUAUACAUGUGUUUUAUGAAUUUGUAAAUAAAGUUGUUUAAUGUUUAAUGUUUU
RNA transcript from Clarias gariepinus (North African catfish), 6951 nucleotides. It is a transcript of the gene named sialoadhesin-like, with no coding region annotated. The record is from RefSeq and is a predicted model, not a curated record. The transcript has 20 exons. Lineage: Eukaryota; Metazoa; Chordata; Actinopteri; Siluriformes; Clariidae.